CUGUGUUAUUUUAGGAUGAGAGAGCUUGGCUGGAGCAUGUCUCUAUAUUUUGGUUGCAAUUUGGGGUAUGGAACUGGACCCUGGCCAGACCUGCUCCUCAACUCUCUUGGUGACCUAUAGACCGGCCCAACGUGCAGGACCAGCUCCAGGUAGAGAGGCUGCAGCACACAUAUGUGGAAGCCCUGCAUGCCUACGUCUCCAUCCACCAUCCCCAUGACCGACUGAUGUUCCCACGGAUGCUAAUGAAACUGGUGAGCCUCCGGACCCUGAGCAGCGUCCACUCAGAGCAAGUGUUUGCACUGCGUCUGCAGGACAAAAAGCUCCCACCGCUGCUCUCUGAGAUCUGGGAUGUGCACGAAUGACUGUUCUGUCCCCAUAUUUUCUGUUUUCUUGGCCGGAUGGCUGAGGCCUGGUGGCUGCCUCCUAGAAGUGGAACAGACUGAGAAGGGCAAACAUUCCUGGGAGCUGGGCAAGGAGAUCCUCCCGUGGCAUUAAAAGAGAGUCAAAGGG
RNAcentral lists this small RNA (510 nucleotides) under Pan troglodytes (chimpanzee). Its description in RNAcentral is "retained intron". The record is from RNAcentral. Lineage: Eukaryota; Metazoa; Chordata; Mammalia; Primates; Hominidae.